GGAUAACGUUUGGAAACGAACGCUAAUACCGCAUGAUAUUAUUGAGCUGCAUGGCUUGAUAAUCAAAGGAGCAAUCCGCUGAAAGAUGGGCUCGCGUCCGAUUAGGUAGUUGGCGGGGCAACGGCCCACCAAGCCGACGAUCGGUAGCCGGACUGAGAGGUUGAACGGCCACAUUGGGACUGAGACACGGCCCAGACUCCUACGGGAGGCAGCAGUGAGGGAUAUUGGUCAAUGGGGGAAACCCUGAACCAGCAACGCCGCGUGAGGGAAGACGGUUUUCGGAUUGUAAACCUCUGUCCUCUGUGAAGAUAAUGACGGUAGCAGAGGAGGAAGCUCCGGCUAACUACGUGCCAGCAGCCGCGGUAAUACGUAGGGAGCAAGCGUUGUCCGGAUUUACUGGGUGUAAAGGGUGCGUAGGCGGCUUUGCAAGUCAGAAGUGAAAUCCAUGGGCUUAACCCAUGAACUGCUUUUGAAACUGCAGAGCUUGAGUGGAGUAGAGGUAGGCGGAAUUCCCGGUGUAGCGGUGAAAUGCGUAGAGAUCGGGAGGAACACCAGUGGCGAAGGCGGCCUGCUGGGCUCUAGCUGACGCUGAGGCACGAAAGCGUGGGUAGCAAACAGGAUUAGAUACCCUGGUAGUCCACGCUGUAAACGAUGAUUACUAGGUGUGGGUGGACUGACCCCAUCCGUGCCGGA
This 693-nucleotide ribosomal RNA is filed under the name uncultured bacterium. RNAcentral describes it as "bacterial SSU rRNA". It matches the Rfam family "Bacterial small subunit ribosomal RNA", at positions 141 to 850 of the family's 1533-position model. The record is from RNAcentral.